ACAUUAUAGAGAAGCAUGACAUCGACAGAACACAAAUUUGAUAAGAAAUGACAAAAAGCGGCAAUCUGUAAGAAAAUGGGAUCGGAUCCUAGCCUCAUAGCACACAUACAAUUUAAACUCAAAUAGGAAAUAGCCCAAGGCAGGAACCGGAGGCAGGAGCGGAAGCAGAGACCAUGGAGGGAUGCUGCUUCCUGGCUUUGUUCCUUUGUGCUCAAGUACCUUUCUUACGCAGACGGGAUGCCUGUGGAUGGCACUGCCCUCAGCGGGCUGAACCUUCCCAUAUCAACUAACAGUUGAUAGGAUGCCUCAUUGGCCUGGCGACAGGCCAGCCUGAACUGGACAAUUCUUCAGCUGAGGUUCCCUCUUCCAGAUGACUUGAGGGUCGCGUCACGUGGACAGUUGGGGCUAACUAUGACAUGCAUCCAUUUCUUUGCUUAUGUUUUCUUUGUAAUCAUUCAUUGCUAGCAGACUUCCUUCAUGUCCUUGACAACAGCCUUAAAAUAUUUGCCUCUUAAUUCUAAGGUGUGGGUCACCUUGAGGUUCAGCUCCACUGAUAACCGUUCCUAUUGCAUAUGAAUUACAUUAUCUCAUAUCGUCAUACAUCUAAUAGCUUUGGAAUGUGAGUUGGUCACCGUCCCUUAUUGGUACUAUAUUGUUUUGGGGAGGGAAUGUACUACAUAAAACUUAAUUUUGGAAAUUC
This 700-nucleotide long non-coding RNA is filed under the name Rattus norvegicus (Norway rat). Its description in RNAcentral is "long non-coding RNA NONRATT019208". Lineage: Eukaryota; Metazoa; Chordata; Mammalia; Rodentia; Muridae. The record is from RNAcentral.